This 621-nucleotide ribosomal RNA is filed under the name Porpidia melinodes. Its description in RNAcentral is "LSU rRNA". It matches the Rfam family "Eukaryotic large subunit ribosomal RNA", at positions 31 to 667 of the family's 3401-position model. Lineage: Eukaryota; Fungi; Ascomycota; Lecanoromycetes; Lecideales; Lecideaceae. The record is from RNAcentral.
GACUUAAGCAUAUCAAUAAGCGGAGGAAAAGAAACCANCAGGGAUUGCCUCAGUAACGGCGAGUGAAGCGGCAACAGCUCAAAUUUGAAAUCUGACCCCUUCGGGGCCCGAGUUGUAAUUUGUAGAGGAUGCUUCGGGUGCGGCGCCGGUCUAAGUUCCUUGGAACAGGACGUCAUAGAGGGUGAGAAUCCCGUAUGCGACCGGCGGUCAACCCCAUGUGAAGCCCCUUCGACGAGUCGAGUUGUUUGGGAAUGCAGCUCAAAAUGGGUGGUAAAUUUCAUCUAAAGCUAAAUACCGGCCAGAGACCGAUAGCGCACAAGUAGAGUGAUCGAAAGAUGAAAAGCACUUUGGAAAGAGAGUCAAACAGUACGUGAAAUUGUUGAAAGGGAAGCGCUUGCAACCAGACCUGCCCCCGGGCGAUCAGCCGUUAUUUUUAGCGGUGCACUCGUCCGCGAUCAGGCCAGCAUCGGUUCGGGCGGCCGGAUAAAGGCCUCGGGAAUGUAGCUCCCCCCGGGGAGUCUUAUAGCCCGAGGUGCAAUGCGGCCAGCCCGGACCGAGGACCGCGCUUCGGCUAGGAUGCUGGCGUAAUGGUUGUAAGCGACCCGUCUUGAAACACGGACC